RNAcentral lists this small nuclear RNA (106 nucleotides) under Neotoma lepida (desert woodrat). The record is from RNAcentral. Lineage: Eukaryota; Metazoa; Chordata; Mammalia; Rodentia; Cricetidae.
GUGCUUGCUUUGGCAGCACAUACACUAAAAUUGGAAUAUGAGAAGAUUAGUAGCAUGGGUCCUGAGCAAGGAUGACAUGCAAAUCUCUGCAAGGUUCCAGAUUGUU